This 1355-nucleotide ribosomal RNA is filed under the name uncultured bacterium. RNAcentral's name for it is "bacterial SSU rRNA". It matches the Rfam family "Bacterial small subunit ribosomal RNA", at positions 28 to 1381 of the family's 1533-position model. The record is from RNAcentral.
AUUGAACGCUGGCGGCAGGCUUAACACAUGCAAGUCGAACGAUGACUCUCUAGCUUGCUAGAGAAGAUUAGUGGCGGACGGGUGAGUAACAUUUAGGAAUCUGCCUAGUAGUGGGGGAUAGCUCGGGGAAACUCGAAUUAAUACCGCAUACGACCUACGGGUGAAAGGGGGCGCAAGCUCUUGCUAUUAGAUGAGCCUAAAUCAGAUUAGCUAGUUGGUGGGGUAAAGGCCCACCAAGGCGACGAUCUGUAACUGGUCUGAGAGGAUGAUCAGUCACACCGGAACUGAGACACGGUCCGGACUCCUACGGGAGGCAGCAGUGGGGAAUAUUGGACAAUGGGGGCAACCCUGAUCCAGCCAUGCCGCGUGUGUGAAGAAGGCCUUUUGGUUGUAAAGCACUUUAAGCAGGGAGGGGAGGCUAAUGGUUAAUACCCAUUAGAUUAGACGUUACCUGCAGAAUAAGCACCGGCUAACUCUGUGCCAGCAGCCGCGGUAAUACAGAGGGUGCGAGCGUUAAUCGGAAUUACUGGGCGUAAAGCGAGUGUAGGUGGCUCAUUAAGUCACAUGUGAAAUCCCCGGGCUUAACCUGGGAACUGCAUGUGAUACUGGUGGUGCUAGAAUAUGUGAGAGGGAAGUAGAAUUCCAGGUGUAGCGGUGAAAUGCGUAGAGAUCUGGAGGAAUACCGAUGGCGAAGGCAGCUUCCUGGCAUAAUAUUGACACUGAGAUUCGAAAGCGUGGGUAGCAAACAGGAUUAGAUACCCUGGUAGUCCACGCCGUAAACGAUGUCUACUAGCCGUUGGGGUCCUUGAGACUUUAGUGGCGCAGUUAACGCGAUAAGUAGACCGCCUGGGGAGUACGGCCGCAAGGUUAAAACUCAAAUGAAUUGACGGGGGCCCGCACAAGCGGUGGAGCAUGUGGUUUAAUUCGAUGCAACGCGAAGAACCUUACCUGGUCUUGACAUAGUGAGAAUCCUGCAGAGAUGCGGGAGUGCCUUCGGGAAUUCACAUACAGGUGCUGCAUGGCUGUCGUCAGCUCGUGUCGUGAGAUGUUGGGUUAAGUCCCGCAACGAGCGCAACCCUUUUCCUUAUUUGCCAGCGGGUUAAGCCGGGAACUUUAAGGAUACUGCCAGUGACAAACUGGAGGAAGGCGGGGACGACGUCAAGUCAUCAUGGCCCUUACGACCAGGGCUACACACGUGCUACAAUGGUAGGUACAGAGGGUUGCUACACAGCGAUGUGAUGCUAAUCUCAAAAAGCCUAUCGUAGUCCGGAUUGGAGUCUGCAACUCGACUCCAUGAAGUCGGAAUCGCUAGUAAUCGCAGAUCAGAAUGCUGCGGUGAAUACGUUCCCGGGCCU